Molecule: ribosomal RNA, 777 nt
Filed under: uncultured Neocallimastigales
Lineage: Eukaryota; Fungi; Neocallimastigomycota; Neocallimastigomycetes; Neocallimastigales
Description: partial large subunit ribosomal RNA
Rfam family: Eukaryotic large subunit ribosomal RNA
Source: RNAcentral
UAUCUCUGUAGAGUCUGCAUAUCAAUAAGCGGAGGAAAAGAAACUAACAUAGGAUUCCCUCAGUAACGGCGAGUGAAGCGGGAAGAGCUCAAAUUUGAAAUCUUCAAGGGUUCUACCUUUACGAAUUGUAGUUUAAAGAAGUGUUUUCUGUUGAGGUUUUGGUAAAAGUUCUUUGGAAUAGGACAUCAUAGAGGGUGAGAAUCCCGUAUUUGACCAUUACUUUCCAACUUUGUGAUACACUUUCAAAGAGUCGGAUUGUUUGGGAAUGCAGUCCAAAAUGGGUGGUAAAUUUCAUCUAAAGCUAAAUACUGGCGAGAGACCGAUAGCGAACAAGUACCGUGAGGGAAAGAUGAAAAGAACUUUGAAAAGAGAGUUAAACAGUACGUGAAAUUGUCAAAAGGGAAGCGUUUGACACCAGUGUUGUUUUCUCGAAAAUCAAUUAAAAAAGGCAGGAUUUUGUGUUGUAUUGACUUUAUCAGCUUUCUGCACUCUUUUCUUGUCUUUUUUAAUGCACUUUUCGUUUAACAAGUCAACAUCAAUUUCUUUUGUUGUAAAAGGGUCAUUGGAAGGUGGCUUUCUUUUCGGAGAAAGUGUUUAUAGCCUUUGGCCUCUGCAAUCGGAGAGAUUGAGGUCUGCAGCGUAGAUCCUUCGGGGUUAGAUACAUUUGUGCUAAGUUAUAGCCUUUCAUAGACAACUUGUUGACUAUGAUCAGUCAUGUAGCUUACUCGCUUAUGCUAUUUUACCUACGCUUAGGAUGUUGACGAUCAGCUGAGCGCG